GCUUAACACAUGCAAGUCGAGCGAGAAUCGUUUAUUGAAGGCUUCGGCUGGAAAUAGAUGAGGAAAGCGGCGAACGGGUGAGUAACGCGUGGGCAACCUGGCCUUAAGAAAAGGAUAGCCCCCGGAGACGGGGAGUAAUACUUUAUGAGAAUGAGAGAGGGCAUCCUACUUUCAUUCAAAGCGCAAGCGCUUAAGGAUGGGCCCGCGUAUCAUUAGCUAGUUGGUGAGAUAACAGCCCACCAAGGCAACGAUGAUUAGCCGGUCUGAGAGGGCGAACGGCCACAUUGGAACUGAGACGGUCCAAACUCCUACGGGAGGCAGCAGUGGGGAAUAUUGCGCAAUGGAGAAGAACUCUGACGCAGCAAUACCGCGUGAGCGAAGAAGGUCUUCGGAUCGUAAAGCUCUGUUAUCAGGGAAGAAGAAAAUGACGGUACCUGAUGAGCAAGUCCCGGCUAACUACGUGCCAGCAGCCGCCGUAA
This 479-nucleotide ribosomal RNA is filed under the name uncultured bacterium. Its description in RNAcentral is "partial 16S ribosomal RNA". It matches the Rfam family "Bacterial small subunit ribosomal RNA", at positions 46 to 523 of the family's 1533-position model. The record is from RNAcentral.